RNAcentral lists this ribosomal RNA (94 nucleotides) under Candidatus Zambryskibacteria bacterium RIFOXYC1_FULL_39_10. RNAcentral's name for it is "partial 23S ribosomal RNA". Lineage: Bacteria; Candidatus Zambryskiibacteriota. The record is from RNAcentral.
AAUUCAAGGGCGUAUGGUGGAUGCCUUGGCUAGAAAUAGCGAUGAAGGACGUGGCGUGGCGGCGAUACGCUUCGGGGAGGUGCCUAGCAACCUU